ACGUAGGGUGCGAGCGUUAAUCGGAAUUACUGGGCGUAAAGCGUGCGCAGGCGGUUCGUUAUGUCGGCGGUGAAAGCCCCGGGCUCAACUCCGGAAUUGCCUUUAAGACUGCAUCGCUUGAAUCCGGGAGAGGUGAGUGGAAUUCCGAGUGUAGAGGUGAAAUUCGUAGAUAUUCGGAAGAACACCAGUGGCGAAGGCGGCUCACUGGACCGGUAUUGACGCUGAGGUGCGAAAGCGUGAGGAGCAAACAGGA
Molecule: ribosomal RNA, 253 nt
Filed under: uncultured prokaryote
Description: partial 16S ribosomal RNA
Rfam family: Bacterial small subunit ribosomal RNA
Source: RNAcentral